GUACACGCUGUGACUAGCAUAUCAAUAAGCGGAGGAAAAGAAACUAACAAGGAUUCCCCUAGUAACGGCGAGUGAAGCGGGAAGAGCUCAAAUUUGAAAUCUUAAAGGGUUUCCCUUUACGAAUUGUAGUUUAAAGAAGUGUUUUUCUGUUGAGGUUUUGGUAAAAGUUCUUUGGAAUAGGACAUCAUAGAGGGUGAGAAUCCCGUAUUUGACCUUUACUUUCAACUUUGUGAUACACUUUCAAAGAGUCGGAUUGUUUGGGAAUGCAGUCCAAAAUGGGUGGUAAAUUUCAUCUAAAGCUAAAUAUUGGCGAGAGACCGAUAGCGAACAAGUACCGUGAGGGAAAGAUGAAAAGAACUUUGAAAAGAGAGUUAAACAGUACGUGAAAUUGUCAAAAGGGAAGCGUUUGACACCAGUGUUGUUUUUCUGAAAAUCAAUUAAAGAACUGUUUAUGUUAAGUUGUUUAGACUUUAUCAGCUAACUGUUUAGUUUUGAGCUUUUCUUUAAUGCACUUUUCAGUUAACAAGUCAACAUCAAUUUCUUUUGCUGUAAAAAAGCUUGAGGAAGGUGGCUUGAGAUUCGUCUUAAGUGUUUAUAGCCUCUUGCCUAUGCAGUCGGAGAGAUUGAGGUCUGCAGCGUAGAUCCUUCGGGGCUAAAUGCAUUUGUGCUAAGUUAUAGCAUUUUAUAGACAACUUGUUGACUAUGAUUUGUCUUGUAGCUUACUCGCUUAUGUUAUUUUACCUACGCUUAGGAUGUUGAAGUCAUCGUAUCGCGC
RNAcentral lists this ribosomal RNA (775 nucleotides) under uncultured Neocallimastigales. Its description in RNAcentral is "partial large subunit ribosomal RNA". It matches the Rfam family "Eukaryotic large subunit ribosomal RNA", at positions 22 to 645 of the family's 3401-position model. The record is from RNAcentral. Lineage: Eukaryota; Fungi; Neocallimastigomycota; Neocallimastigomycetes; Neocallimastigales.